AGCAUGUGCGCGAGUCAUUGGGACAAACCUAAGGGCGUAAUGAAAGUAAAGGUUUACCUUGGACCGAGGGAGGAUGAGUGGUUUGCCCCAUUCCGCACUCCCGGGGCGUCUCGUUCUCAUUGCGAGAAGAGGCGCACCAAGAGCGUACACGCUGGGACCCGAAAGAUGGUGAACUAUGCCUGGUCAGGACGAAGUCAGGGGAAACCCUGAUGGAGGUCCGUAGCGAUUCUGACGUGCAAAUCGAUCGUCGGAACUGGGUAUAGGGGCGAAAGACUAAUCGAACCAUCUAGUAGCUGGUUCCCUCCGAAGUUUCCCUCAGGAUAGCUGGCGCUCGUUGCGUACGAGUUUCAUCCGGUAAAGCGAAUGAUUAGAGGCAUUGGGGUCGAAACGACCUCAACCUAUUCUCAAACUUUAAAUGGGUGAGAUCUCCGGCUUGCUCGAAAUGUGAAGCCGUGAGACUCGAAUCAGAGUGCCAAGUGGGCCAUUUUUG
This 490-nucleotide ribosomal RNA is filed under the name Lamprima aenea. RNAcentral's name for it is "eukaryotic LSU rRNA". It matches the Rfam family "Eukaryotic large subunit ribosomal RNA", at positions 677 to 1139 of the family's 3401-position model. Lineage: Eukaryota; Metazoa; Arthropoda; Insecta; Coleoptera; Lucanidae. The record is from RNAcentral. RNAcentral also lists the same sequence under 2 other names.